AAUCUUUGUUUCUUCAGAAUUACAGGUCUCUUUUGACCUUGUUGGUUGUUACAUGAAUUAUCUUGUUUUAUCCUACGAUAGGUAAUACUAGAGCUAGAGGCUUCCAACCCUGGUCUCGUGAUUAGCUUUGUUGAGGAACCUGACUUCACUUGCGGCUCAAAAUCUCAUCAGCUUUGAUACUAUGAAUGUACUUCGAGCGAGUAAGGUUUGUUCAAUUUGAAAAGAAGGAAAAGUUGGGUUUCCCAAGGGAGGUUAGCAAUGUGGCAAGUUAUACAAAGAUGAGUCAUUCUCAAUCAAACAUUGAAGAUUGAGUUGAUAUUCAAAGAUUUUGGGCAGCAACAUCUCCAUGGUGCAUUCCAUUGGAUGAAGGGUCACACAUACCACUUGUAUUUAUUGUUUUUGGAAAGAUGGCGAUUACUUUAUUAGAAGGCAAAAAGAGAACAACGGGGAGAAUCAGCCCGUUGAGAUAGCGGGAAGAUUACUCGCCUAAGAAAAGCGAAUUACAACCUUUUAGGAGAUCAACAUUACACACAUACCACUUGCAUGAUUUUCAAUAGAGGAAAACAGACUGCUGAGCACACUAUUGACAUCCUUCAAAACUAUAUAUAGCGACAUUUAAGCUAGUUAAAAAAAAAAAAAAAAAACAA
Magnolia sinica is the source of this 647-nucleotide long non-coding RNA. RefSeq lists it as uncharacterized. The transcript is spliced from 2 exons. Lineage: Eukaryota; Viridiplantae; Streptophyta; Magnoliopsida; Magnoliales; Magnoliaceae. The record is from RefSeq and is a predicted model, not a curated record.